AUGUCCCUUCUUUUCAAUAAUAUUAGUAUCGCCAUCAAUGGGGGUUUGGGGUUUAAAGAGUUUGAACUUUUCAACUUGGCUAUGCUGGCCAAGCAGGCAUGGCCUCUGUUGCAAUUCCCUGAUUCCCUAUGUGCUCGCCUACUCAAAAGUAUCUACUAUCCAAACACUUCGGUACUUGAUUCUAAUUUGGGGAAUCACCCAAGCCAAAUAUGGAGGAGUUUGAUUGAGGGGAGGGACACCCUUAAGCUGGGUCUGAUCAAAAGAAUAGGCAAUGGGGAAACGACCAGAAUCUGGGAAGCAAACUGGCUGCCGCGCGAGGAAAUGAUGAGACCGUAUGGGUGCAUCUCACAGAACCCACCAGAACUCGUCUCGGAGCUCAUAGAUGCCACGUCAACCCAAUGGGACAGACAGAGGGUGUCGGAAGUCUUCAUGCCAAUGGAUGUUCGCGUAAUAAUGGCUAUCCCUUUGUGCACCAUGAACAUUCCAGAUUUCUGGAGCUGGCAUUAUGAAAAGAAUGGAAAAUUCUCUAUUAAAUCAGCCUACCGCAUGAUGGUGGCGACAAGAGCUAGAAGAGAGGCAUGGCUUGAAAGCACGGCCGGAUCUUCCAGCACGUCCAGUGAGGAGGGUGCAUGGAAGAAGCUGUGGAAAACUCAAGUGUCGGGCAAGGUGAGGAUGUUUCUCUGGCGUUUGUCCAAACACUCAAUCCCAACCAACGAUGUGAGGGCACACAGACACAUGAGUGACUCAAGUGCUUGUGGCCUCUGUGGCGCGCAAGACUCCUGGAGGCAUUCCCUAAUAGAGUGUUCAAUGUCCAGAUGUAGAUGGUCACUGAUGGACGUGGAGAUCACGGAAAAUCUUGCAGCGAUAACUGAACCAAACGCCAAACAAUGGCUGUUCACUUUGAUGGAGACAAUGUCACAUGAGCUUUUUGUGAGGCUCUCAGUUACACUAUGGGCAAUCUGGGCAGCGAGACGGAAGGCAAUUCAUGAAGGGAUUUUUCAAAGCCCUCACUCUACACACGGCUUCAUCACCAGUUUUAUUGAUGAGCUAGACAUACUGAAGGUCAAACCACCCCAGGUGACUUGA
RNAcentral lists this ribosomal RNA (1086 nucleotides) under Triticum aestivum (bread wheat). RNAcentral's name for it is "partial small subunit ribosomal RNA". Lineage: Eukaryota; Viridiplantae; Streptophyta; Magnoliopsida; Poales; Poaceae. The record is from RNAcentral.